GUUCCUGUGGUGUAUCUUGCACAUUAGAUUUUCAUUCUAAGGGGAUAAAUUAAUUUAUUAGGAAUA
Molecule: transfer RNA, 66 nt
Filed under: Harpovoluta charcoti
Lineage: Eukaryota; Metazoa; Mollusca; Gastropoda; Neogastropoda; Volutidae
Description: tRNA-Glu
Source: RNAcentral